Molecule: ribosomal RNA, 465 nt
Filed under: uncultured bacterium
Lineage: Bacteria
Description: partial 16S ribosomal RNA
Rfam family: Bacterial small subunit ribosomal RNA
Source: RNAcentral
GACGAACGCUGGCGGCGUGCUUAACACAUGCAAGUCGAACGGAAAGGCCCCUUUGGGGGUACUCGAGUGGCGAACGGGUGAGUAACACGUGAGUAACCUGCCCUUGACUUCGGGAUAACUUCAGGAAACUGGGGCUAAUACCGGAUAGGAAUCCUUGCUGCAUGGUGGGGGUUGGAAAGCUUCGGCGGUUUUGGAUGGACUCGCGGCUUAUCAGCUUGUUGGUGGGGGAGUGGCUUACCAAGGCUUUGACGGGUAGCCGGCCUGAGAGGGCGACCGGCCACAUUGGGACUGAGAUACGGCCCAGACUCCUACGGGAGGCAGCAGUGGGGAAUAUUGCACAAUGGGCGGAAGCCUGAUGCAGCAACGCCGCGUGCGGGAGGACGGCCUUCGGGUUGGAAACCGCUUUCAGCAGGGGCGAAGCUUGUGGUGACGGUACCUGCAGAAGAAGCACCGGCUAACUACGUG